GCAGCAGACCGGUCUGUCGCUCGUGUGAAAGAAAACGGGAGGAAAGUCCGGGCAACGCAGAGCGCCACGCUUCCUAACGGGAAGUUGUUCGCGAGGGCAAAGUAGCGUAACAGAAAAUAACCGCACGCCGCAAGGCUGCAAGGGUGAAAAGGCGAGGUAAAGGCUCACCGCUUCCGGCGGAAUCCGGGAGGUCAGUACGUCUCGUGGGUUGUAAGGUCAAAUAAACCGGCGUAUGUAGAGUGGCUCGCUCGAUGUCGGAGGGUGGACUGCUAAAAAACGGAAUUUGUCGGCGACGGCAAAUCCAGAUAAAUGACAGACGCAUCAGCGCCGCAGGGCGUGGUGGACAGAACCCGGCUUACAGGUAGGCUGCCAAU
RNAcentral lists this RNase P RNA (374 nucleotides) under Tannerella sp. Its description in RNAcentral is "RNase P RNA component class A". It matches the Rfam family "Bacterial RNase P class A". Rfam says of the family: Ribonuclease P (RNase P) is a ubiquitous endoribonuclease, found in archaea, bacteria and eukarya as well as chloroplasts and mitochondria. Its best characterised activity is the generation of mature 5'-ends of tRNAs by cleaving the 5'-leader elements of precursor-tRNAs. Cellular RNase Ps are ribonucleoproteins. The record is from RNAcentral. Lineage: Bacteria; Pseudomonadati; Bacteroidota; Bacteroidia; Bacteroidales; Tannerellaceae.